Molecule: ribosomal RNA, 401 nt
Filed under: uncultured bacterium
Lineage: Bacteria
Description: bacterial SSU rRNA
Rfam family: Bacterial small subunit ribosomal RNA
Source: RNAcentral
GCACGGGAGGGGCAACCCUUCAGUGGCGGACGGGUGAGUAACGCGUGGGAAUCUGUCUCCGGGUGGGGGAUAACGAUGGGAAACUAUCGCUAAUACCGCAUGAAACCUGAGGGUCAAAGGCGCAAGCCGCCUGGAGAGGAGCCCGCGUUCGAUUAGCUUGUUGGCGGGGUAAAAGCCCACCAAGGCGAUGAUCGAUAGCUGGUCUGAGAGGAUGAUCAGCCACACUGGGACUGAGACACGGCCCAGACUCCUACGGGAGGCAGCAGUGGGGAAUAUUGGACAAUGGGCGCAAGCCUGAUCCAGCAAUGCCGCGUGAGUGAAGAAGGUCUUCGGAUUGUAAAGCUCUUUCGACGGGGACGAUGAUGACGGUACCCGUAGAAGAAGCCCCGGCUAACUUCGUG